ACCAACUUUCUCUUUGACUCUGGAAAAAGCUCUGUUACCCUCCAAAACUCUGCUUAUUUGUCUAUAAAAGGAGGAGAUUGGCUCAGAUCUGUGGAAGGUAAACCACUACAUGAAUGAGGGAGGGUGGCGCUAUUGCAGGGAAUCCUCAACUCCACAAGUACCUUGACGUUCAUGUACUGUGCUUUUCAAAGCACUAAGUAACGUGGACAUCUCUUUUAAAAAGAAAUCUAAAGCAAAUCUAGAAAAUAAUGACAAUUGGAAUCUGUUUUUACUAGGCAAAGGGUCAAGGGACAUGAAAUUUGGGUUCAAUGGAAAGAUGAAUCACAUUUUCUAAGACUUUGCAUCUACAGCCAGAAUUUUGUUGAAGGAAAAAACAGAAUCAGUCAUUUUUCUCCAGCAGCACCAUGGCAAAGUCAGCCAGUCCAUCAACAAACAUUGAGCACCUACCCUGUACAGAGCAUGGACCCAGGUACAGACAGGGAAAUUGAGAAAAUUUAAAAGCACUAAUGUUUGUAAAUGCUUGUUUUCCAUUUGCAUCACAAUUCAUAGCCCUGGGGUUUUUUCAACAUGCAAACAUCUCUUUCACCAUCAUGUUCUGUCUCAUGAAGAAUAUUUGGUCACCAUUGGUCCAACUACUCCUCUGUACCUGCUAAUUACAUAGGACUCAGCACCAGCAGAAUGUGGGAGACCAUGCAGAGGAGGUCGGUGGAGGAGGCAAGAAUCAAACAAAUACAGAUGGAUGUCUCCAGAAAGGGUCUUUGACUCUGCAUUUGGAAGCAAGGCCAGCCCAAUCCACAGAGCAGAGGCGGCAUCUCCAGAUACAGGCCGGUUUCAGGAGCAUGGCAGCAUGUGGCCCUACAUUCAUCAUUAUUUUAGGUUAAGGCAUUCCCAGCAGCAGGACUCCAUGAAACAUGCUACCUCAAGUAGUCUGCCAUUUAACAUGCGAGCUCUAUCAUCUAAAACAUUUCCUAGAAAUUCAAGGCCCUACAGGAAUUGAAAACUAGACUCUAUAUUUGAGAAAGAGAUUGCUGGGGGAAAGAGCUGAAGUUUGGGAACAGCAGAAUGUAGAUGCUGGAUCCCCACAAAAAAGAGGAGGAAGCUUUCUAAUGCAGUCUUUCAUAGUGUAUCAGCAAGAAGUAGACACAGUGAGUUCAUCCUACCUCUUCUUCUUUACAGGAGUAGUAGCAGAAGUGGAUGCUAUGGUGUUGAAGGUGUUGGCAUUCAAUGAACCGCCAGGUUGCCUGUUUAAUGACAAGAACAACAAUUAAUCACACUCUCAAACUUUUUCAUUUCAGCCUACCUUUGAAAAGUCUUAAAUUCUACUCAUAUUCCUGCCUGCUCUCUGUUCAUAAAAUGUUUCACUUGGGGAUGGAAAAACAGCCAAAAAUCUUCUUCCUUAGUUGACAUAUUUUAGAAGUUGUCAGGUUCUCAUAGAACUAGCUAAAACUAAAGGAACAGAAUAAAGAAGUGAUUCAUAAAAUGACAUUAACUGUCAGAAAUUCAGACAAAUCAAUUCUGGUGUGCUACAGAUUCACAUUUCUUUUAUUCCUGUGAUUAUAUUGUGAGUAACUAAUUAUGUUGCGGUUUUUUUGCAUUAGAAGCAUUAUUGCUUAAUAAAAAAUUUUAAAUCAUACCA
Molecule: long non-coding RNA, 1636 nt
Organism: Pan troglodytes (chimpanzee)
Lineage: Eukaryota; Metazoa; Chordata; Mammalia; Primates; Hominidae
Exons: 3
Source: RefSeq, a predicted model, not a curated record